UGGAGAUAGACAUUGGUAUGUGUUGUACAAUUAUCACUUUAAAAGAACAGAAUCAUUUUCGUUUUGCCCUGAGUCUAAUGGGGCUUUUUCACAGGGCGACUUGACGCAAGAUGUGACCAGAGUGAAGUGGUCGUGGUCUAGCACGAUAUCAUACGAUAUAACAGGGGGGGGGGGGGGGGGUAGACAAAGAGUUCCCACGGUACUCGGCAUUUCUGUUAUUUGUGCGAGUGACUUGUCCGUCUCCCGAGCUUUCCCGUUAAAUCUUGAAUGAGCAUUGUAAACUGUCAAGUGCAAUUAAAUCAUCACGUGGCACAAAUGAUGUCAUAACUUAUUUUAUGGCGCUUAGAGACAUGAUUCCAACCUCAAACACAGAGGGUGUAAAAGCUGUCUGCGACUUUUUUACUUUGCAGCUGCAGGGCACAGACAGACUUAUAAGAGAAGUUUAAGUUAACUGCAAAAACAGCACUUUUACAUCUAUAGCAUUGUAUGUUUUUAAAUCUUGGAUAACAUUAAAUGGUUUUCCUGUUGAUGAACUAAUAUAUCGUUAUAUAUACUCACAUGAGCACCCGGGAUACUCCGCAGCCUUCGUCUCCAGCAGGUUCCGUUUUCUCGCCCUGUUUCUAUAAUCCUCUCUGGAUUUAUCGUAGAGAAUCUCGUUAAAUUGGUACCAUUCUACAAGUUCCCCCUCUUGUUCCCUGGAGAAGUUAUAUGGCCUUACCUUCUGCCAUCUUCCCUUUACAUAAGCGUCUGUAGAGGCUAUUCCUACAACGGCUACUGGGGAGGCAAUCUGAAAUCCACCUUGCUCACCCUCUCCCUGCUCCAAGGAGCCCACAGGCAGUGUUAUCUGUGGCAUCUCCUGUUACCUCUCCACCUGUCUCUCUUGCUGCGUCUCCUCCUCAUUCUCCUGCAUGGCAAAAACCUUUCUGACAUGCUUUACCCCCUUUCUUUGACCUUUUCUGGGAGCCAUCUCUGCAAGUGUUCCAGUGAAAAAGAUUCUCCAACAAUGACAAUGAGGUGGGACGUCCUCGAUGGACACAUGUUCCAUUGGCGACAUUGAGAACACCUUUUUUACUCACCUUCUGUCCCCUCUGUCCAGCUUCCGGGUUUACCGUUCGCAGGAGUUCCCACGGUAACCGCAAGAGUUACUACGGAUAUUGCACUGGCCACUACGUUCAUAAAAUGUUGCAAUGCUCAACCACAAGUCCCUCUUGGAGAAAUUCAAGCUUGCUUGAAUUUUCUCCCGAUACCCAAGUUACACGAUUACCUGCCGUUAGCGCCACGGUGGUCCACGGUGGUCCACGAAUGCCGUACUGUUAUCGCACGAGGUUCCCACGAUGUUAAACUCUGGUUACCUCUUGCGUCAAGUCGCCCCGUGAAAAAGGGGUUUAAUGCAUUAUUCUUGUUUCCAGGCUCGAUGUUGUGGUUUUGAGACCUACUCUACGAAUGUAGAGUUUCCAGUUGAAUUUGAUUUCAGUUUCUCAGAGAUAUUUUGGAAGCGACAGUAAGUCUACAAGUAGAUCUGCCUGAUAAGUAAAUCUACCUGCCAUCUUGUGUAUAUAAGAAAUUCCAUGAUGUUAUUUUGUGUAACUGUAAAGGAGUUGCCUCCUGUGGCACGGCCAAUAUUUAUCACUCAAUAAAGCAGAUUAUCACAUUGCUAAUAUGGCAUCUUAUGUGCAGAAGACUGCCAGAAUUUGAACAUUUUAAUAGUCACUACAAUGAUGAUAUAUCAAAAUUGGCUCUAAAAUGUUCCACGCUGUUUGUUUUCUGACAGGUUCUAUAUACAUACAAUAUUUUACUCUUUACUAAUAUGAAUUUAGUCAUGUGGCUUGAGCGGUGAUUAAUAUAAUUAAUUGGGAACAUAGUGCACAUCUGGAUGGUGACCUUCACAGCUGUCUAAACUAAGCAACAGAGGGAGUGGUACACAAGAUUGGUCCCAAGACAGCAGGGCCAGACUUGCAGAUGUCAGAAAAUACUACAAUGGACAUCUGUGUGGAGAGUUUAAAAACAUCUGGAUGUUUCAACACUCCCAGAAUGCCUUUGACUGCAUCAACUCCACUUUUCACGUUUGUAGGGGAGAGACAUCUUACAGCUGCCAACAGCUCAGAGGAGAACUGGUGAGGUGGCCUUCAUGCGUCAGGCUUUCAUAUCUGUGACUUGCAAAAUGGGCGUCAUCAUCUGGAGCAUCCAACUUCCCACCCCACGUCUGGAUUCAAUGCUAAUUCCGAGGGCACAAGCUGAGCCAAGGUCCAAGACACAACCUGUAUCAGGCCAUUUGACUGGGACAUUUAAGUCUAGUGGAAAAGCUGAGAGAAUGUUUUUAAAUGGCAUCCCAGGGCUGGAGUGGAAACUCAUCCGCAGAACUGGAGUGGCAACAAGUGGAAACAAGUAGCGAGGGACUACCUAAAGAAGAACAUGGAAGACAGGCAAAAUGUGCAUAAUUAAUCUGAUCCUUGAUUCCCCUACCCUGGAUAAAAGACUGUGCAUUCACCCUAUCAAUUCCCCUCUUGGUUUUAUACACGGAUAUAAGGUCUGGUAGGAUCACUCGGGUGCACCAGCAGAAUUAUGCAAGAAACUGCUCGGAAAACCUUCAACAGCUGGCAAAGAAAGGCUGUUAUGAACAUCCCCAAAGUGAACAUCCCUAAAAUCCAGAAAAUUAUUGGAAAUAAAAAUAAAUAAAAGCACCUCCCUGUCUCUACCCUUCCUCUUACCUGCCCCAAUAAGAUGUUGGUCAGGCUACACUUGGAGUACUGUGUGCUUUCUGGUCACCCUGCAAUUGGAAUGAUGUCAUCAAACUGGACAGCAUGCAAAAAAGAUUCACAAGGAUGUUCUGACUUUUUGUAGGAGCGUAAGAGUCUGAGGGAUGACCUUAGAGAGCAUAGAUAAUGUGAAAACCACAGCUUUUCCCCCAGAGUAGAGGAGUCUAAACUAAAGGACAAAGGUUUCACGGUAAGAGGGUGUAAUGAUAUUGAGUGUACCAAGCCUAAGUCAAGACUUUAAGUCCUAUCUGUUAUAACUAACAACAAGUUACCUCACUUUAGGGAGAUUACAUUGUACCAACCUAUGUCAAAGCUAAAUUUACUUGCUGCAUCUGUCUUUCCUUCUGAAUGGGUUUAACUGUCAAUAAUCACCAUUUCGAGCAGCAGAUCCCUUCUCCCAACCAAGGAAGAAAUACUUCCAGCUAACGAAACAGGUGUACUUUUAAAUGAGGCAUAUUUAAUUAUGAGGAGUAAUUUCUAUAAAGGUAAUAAAUUGGAAAGAAUUUACAGAAGUACAAUUCUUACAAUAUUAGAAAAACAUACCAGUGAAUUACAGACAAAGACGUCGUCCAUUCGACAGAGGCUGAGUGGACUCUCUGUAACUUAUUUUCCCACGCCUAAAACAUCCUCAUCUAAUUUUGACACUACUUUUCCAUUACCCACAUUGGCCAGAUCAAGUGGGUGACCUGACUUAAUUAAAUCAACGAGGGCCUUAUCUUUUCUUUUGUUAACUUUACAUUCAUUUUGAGUAUGUAAAGGUUACUGAGACCCUUAAAGAUCUUUUUUUUUCUUCCAUCAGUCCUUGGCACAGGAUGGUUCCGUUCUUAAUGACAUAAUGGAUCAGUAUUCUUGCUCUUGAUAGUGCACUAACAGAAUAGCACUUACAUUAAACCACAAUAAGCCUUUUGAACCUGGGGUCAGCUUCAGCUGAUAUGAUUGUUAACCUAGGUCAGGUUCUGCCAAUAUGCUAAAAGCUUUUUUUAUUACAAAACUGAGAUGUACAAAAGUCUUUCAAAACUUUGGUGUUAGAAAAGUGAGAUUAGCAAAAGCCUUUUCAGCCUGGAUAGUGAAGGGGAAAAUUUUGAAAAGGGACCGAAGUAGAGAUUUUGCAUGGCGCAUAAAUGGAAUGAGCUGCCGGAGAAAGUGCUAGAGAUGGGUGCAACGAUGUCACUUUAAAGAUACAUGUACCGAUGUGGUACAUGGAUUGGAUAUGGGCAUUGAGAGGCAACUGGGACUAGCUGGGUUAGGCAACUUGGUCGGCAUGGACUGUAUUGUAUAGAUCUAUGACUUUCUGACACUUAGCUCCAUCUGCCUAUUUUUUUCUUCUUGCAUCUCCACCUAUCACUUAGCAGUCAUUGCCUCAUUUCUCCCUGCCCCCCCCCCCCCUCCACUGCUUGACUCCAUCUGCCCAGCAUCUUCCCAUCUCAUUUAUACAGUUGCACCUAUCACUUGGCUAUCUUCUCCCUACACUCCUGAUGCAGGGUCUCGACAAGAGACAUCUACCAUUCUUUUGCCUCCAAGAAACUGCUUGACCUGAUGAGUUAUUCCAGCAGUUUAUUUUUUUUAUGUAUGACUUUGUUUAAGAGCCUUUUCUUGCCCAAAGUGUAGAUGACACCAUUUUGCAGUAACACCAUAUUUUAUGAGCAGCGGAUGACCACAUUCUCUAUCCCCAGCCCUGGUGAGUUAUAAAUUCUGUUUCUUAAGCGAUGGUAUCAUUUCCCAUGUUCACUGCUAAGCACUUGGAGUUCACCCACUGAAAAUUGGCACUGUGCUGAAAGUAACUUUAACUAUUUUGCAGAUGACAUAUCUAAAGGCCGUUACUUGCCCUGUAACAAUAACUCCAUUUGACUUCUAUACAGGUUUUGUUUCAUGAGCUGUGCGUAUAUUUUGGACCAACUUGCUAAUUUCAUGUUAGCUGCUGUUUCUUAACAGCUCAUAAAAUGCUUCUUUUGGUGCAGCUUUUGUUUCUCACCUCGCCUGAUGUUUCAUUGGAAAACUGACCACACCAUUCUUCAUAUGUCGUCAUACACAAGCAACCUUGCUUUGAUCCUAAGCUCCAGUGUUGUCUGUGUGGUGUUUGCCAAUUCUCCCUGCGAUUGUGUGGGGUUUCUCUACGAAUGCUCUGUUCUCCCACAUUCCAACGAUGUCCCUGUUCAACCCUGCGGUAUGAAUAUUCAUUUCUCUAACAUUAAGUAAUUCUUGCUU
This is a long non-coding RNA of Leucoraja erinaceus (little skate), 4961 nucleotides long. RefSeq lists it as uncharacterized. Lineage: Eukaryota; Metazoa; Chordata; Chondrichthyes; Rajiformes; Rajidae. The record is from RefSeq and is a predicted model, not a curated record. The transcript is spliced from 3 exons.